AGUGAACGCUGGCGGUAGGCCUAACACAUGCAAGUCGAACGGCAGCACAGUAAUAGCUUGCUCUUACGGGUGGCGCGUGGCGGACGUGUGAGGCAUACAUCGGACUCUACUUUUUCGUGGGGGAUAACUUAGGGAAACUUACGCUAAUACCGCAUACGACCUACUGGUGAAAGAAGGGGAUCUUCGGACCUUGCGCGAUUGACUGAGCCGAUGUCGGAUUAGCUAGUUGGCGGGGUAAAGGCCCACCAAGGCGACGAUCCGUAGCUGGUCUGAGAGGAUGAUCAGCCACACUGGAGCUGAGACACGGUCCAGACUCCUACGGGAGGCAGCAGUGGGGAAUAUUGGACAAAGGGCGCAAGCCUGAUCCAGCCAUACCGCGUGGGUGAAGAAGGCCUUCGGGUCGUAAAGCCCUUUUGUUGGGAAAGAAAAGCAGCAGGUUAAUACCCAGCUGUUCUGACGGUACCCAAAGAAUAAGCACCGGCUAACUUCGUG
This 492-nucleotide ribosomal RNA is filed under the name uncultured bacterium. RNAcentral describes it as "partial 16S ribosomal RNA". It matches the Rfam family "Bacterial small subunit ribosomal RNA", at positions 29 to 507 of the family's 1533-position model. The record is from RNAcentral.